Molecule: unclassified non-coding RNA, 378 nt
Filed under: uncultured bacterium
Lineage: Bacteria
Description: contains 16S-23S intergenic spacer region
Source: RNAcentral
UCCGAGUUGACCCCGGCAGUCUCCUAUGAGUCCCCACCAUCACGUGCUGGCAACAUAGAACGAGGGUUGCGCUCGUUGCGGGACUUAACCCAACAUCUCACGACACGAGCUGACGACAACCAUGCACCACCUGUAAACCGGCCGCAAGCGGGGCACCUGUUUCCAGGUCUUUCCGGUUCAUGUCAAGCCUUGGUAAGGUUCUUCGCGUUGCAUCGAAUUAAUCCGCAUGCUCCGCCGCUUGUGCGGGCCCCCGUCAAUUCCUUUGAGUUUCAGUCUUGCGACCGUACUCCCCAGGCGGCGAACUUAACGCGUUAGCUUCGAUACUGCGUGCCAAAUUGCACCCAACAUCCAGUUCGCAUCGUUUAGGGCGUGGACUAC